AAUAGAUACCCUGGUAGUCCAUGCCGUAAACGAUGUCUACUAGCCGUUGGGCCUUUGAGCUUUAGUGGCGCAGCUAACGCGAUAAGUAGACCGCCUGGGGAGUACGGUCGCAAGACUAAAACUCAAAUGAAUUGACGGGGGCCCGCACAAGCGGUGGAGCAUGUGGUUUAAUUCGAUGCAACGCGAAGAACCUUACCUGGUCUUGACAUAGUAAGAACUUUCCAGAGAUGGAUUGGUGCCUUCGGGAACUUACAUACAGGUGCUGCAUGGCUGUCGUCAGCUCGUGUCGUGAGGUGUUGGGUUAAGUCCCGCAACGAGCGCAACCCUUUUCCUUAUUUGCCAUCGGGUUAAGCCGGGAACUUUAAGGAUACUGCCAGUGACAAACUGGAGGAAGGCGGGGACGACGUCAAGUCAUCAUGGCCCCUACGACCAGGGCUACACACGUGCUACAAUGGUCGGUACAAAGGGUUGCUACUCCGCGAGGAGAUGCUAAUCUCAAAAAAGCCGAUCGUAGUCCGGAUUGGAGUCUGCAACUCGACUCCA
This 543-nucleotide ribosomal RNA is filed under the name uncultured bacterium. RNAcentral describes it as "bacterial SSU rRNA". It matches the Rfam family "Bacterial small subunit ribosomal RNA", at positions 777 to 1320 of the family's 1533-position model. The record is from RNAcentral.